UACAGGGGGUGCAAACGUUGCUCGGAAUCAUUGGGCGUAAAGCGCACGUAGGCGGUUCGUUAUGUCGGAUGUGAAAGCCCUUGGCUUAACCGAGGAAGUGCAUCCGAAACUGGCGAGCUAGAGUACGAAAGAGGAUCGCGGAAUUCCCGGUGUAGAGGUGAAAUUCGUAGAUAUCGGGAGGAACACCAAUUGCGAAGGCAGCUUACUACAGGAAUAUUGACACUGAUGCACGAAAGCGUGGGGAUCAAACAGG
This 253-nucleotide ribosomal RNA is filed under the name uncultured bacterium. RNAcentral's name for it is "partial 16S ribosomal RNA". It matches the Rfam family "Bacterial small subunit ribosomal RNA", at positions 524 to 776 of the family's 1533-position model. The record is from RNAcentral.